Molecule: ribosomal RNA, 116 nt
Filed under: Tistlia consotensis USBA 355
Lineage: Bacteria; Pseudomonadati; Pseudomonadota; Alphaproteobacteria; Rhodospirillales; Rhodovibrionaceae
Also listed under: 1 other name
Source: RNAcentral
CCUGGUGGCUCUGGCGAGGGCGGAACCACCCGAUCCCAUCCCGAACUCGGCCGUGAAACCCCUCAGCGCCGAUGGUACUGCGUCUUAAGACGUGGGAGAGUAGGUCGCCGCCAGGU